UACGGAGGGUGCAAACGUUGCUCGGAAUCAUUGGGCGUAAAGCGCACGUAGGCGGCCUGAUAAGUCGGGUGUGAAAGCCCUGGGCUCAACCCAGGAAGUGCACUCGAAACUGUCAGGCUUGAAUAUGGAAGAGGGUCGCGGAAUUCCCGGUGUAGAGGUGAAAUUCGUAGAUAUCGGGAGGAACACCGGUGGCGAAGGCGGCGACCUGGGUAGAUACUGACGCUGAGGUGCGAAAGCGUGGGGAGCAAACAGG
RNAcentral lists this ribosomal RNA (253 nucleotides) under uncultured bacterium. RNAcentral's name for it is "partial 16S ribosomal RNA". It matches the Rfam family "Bacterial small subunit ribosomal RNA", at positions 524 to 776 of the family's 1533-position model. The record is from RNAcentral.